GAAGAAUAACUCUCUUCAAAACCUGUGGACCUAUACCAGCUGUAUUCAGCGCCGUUCUUUCGGCGGGCUCACCGCGGUUCCGGGCCACCCCUCCGGGGGGGUUUCGGCGCCUAGGUGCCCGCCGGAGGCGGCGAAACCAAACCCUUACUGUAUUUUCAGGCCUCUGUGAUUAAAAAACAAAUAAGUCA
RNAcentral lists this unclassified non-coding RNA (188 nucleotides) under uncultured Sordariomycetes. RNAcentral describes it as "sequence contains ITS1". Lineage: Eukaryota; Fungi; Ascomycota; Sordariomycetes. The record is from RNAcentral.